Molecule: long non-coding RNA, 982 nt
Organism: Chenopodium quinoa (quinoa)
Lineage: Eukaryota; Viridiplantae; Streptophyta; Magnoliopsida; Caryophyllales; Amaranthaceae
Exons: 2
Source: RefSeq, a predicted model, not a curated record
ACCUUUGUGAGUCAUUUGCGUCACUCGUUUAUUGACAAGUGACGCAAAUGACUAUUACGGCUUACAUAAAUUGUGGCUGCCUUCUGCUGUUCGAACUUCAAUACUUCAAAAAUCAAACCCUAGAAAAUUCAACCUACCCCAAAAUUUCCAGAAAUUCAACAUCAAAACCCCAAAACAUUACAAAAAUUUGACCAUUAAUCAAUAAUCCCAGCAAAUGUGAGGCAAAACCCCUUAUAUUCGAGCAAAUCCGAGCCAAAAUACCAUACUUUUGAGCAAAAAAUCUACCCAAAACCCCCACAAAAUUCAAUUGCAGAAAAUCGAGCAAAUUACCUUAAAUUUCAGCAAAAUAUCAAUUGAAAACUCAAAUCAAAAGCAAGUUAAUAUUGUCCUAAUAAAAUCCUAGAUUUUUUUACAAAAAAACCAAGCAUAAUUGUGAGAAAACUUAAGUUUGAGUUUUGAAUUUUGGGUUUUUUUUUGUUCUACGAUUGAAACAGAGUUUACACACAGAUCUAAGGAAGGAAGUUGGAUUUUCGUUCAAAUUAGGAGCAAUUUGUUACGAUUCUCUGAAAGUUAGGGUUUGUACUCAAUAAUAUGGAAUUUUGGCUCUAUUGUUGCUGAAGUUGCAUAUGCAAAAUCGAUUUCAAGCAAGGAGCUGGUGAAUUUAAAUUAUUUGCAAGAGAAAAAGGAAGUGGACUUCCAUUAAGGACUUGUUCGUGUUAGGGAAAAUGAAGAUAUUGUCCCUAAAUUGAAUUAUACUAGCUUCAAAUUCCAUAUUAUUUAUUGGAUUCUUUUGUUAUAGUUCUUAGGCUUGAAAUGAACGCAUUUGGUUUACCAACAUUUGGGUUGGUCUGGUGCUUGUGUUAUUAAUGAUGAAGAUGUCAAUAUUGUUCUGUUGUAAACUUAUUUGACAGGUUGCUAAUACAAGGCGCCGUCAAUCCCAAAUUAAUGGAUAGGCCAAAAUACAAAGGAAAUUCUGUCGAAA